GUGGGGAAUAUUGGGCAAUGGGCGAAAGCCUGACCCAGCAACGCCGCGUGAAGGAAGAAGGCUUUCGGGUUGUAAACUUCUUUUGGCAGGGACGAAAAAAAUGACGGUACCUGCAGAAUAAGCUCCGGCUAACUACGUGCCAGCAGCCGCGGUAAUACGUAGGGAGCAAGCGUUAUCCGGAUUUACUGGGUGUAAAGGGAGCGUAGGCGGGAAUGCAAGUCAGAUGUGAAAUCUGGAGGCUCAACCUCCAAGCUGCAUUUGAAACUGUGUUUCUUGAGUGAUGGAGAGGCAAGUGGAAUUCCUAGUGUAGCGGUGAAAUGCGUAGAUAUUAGGAGGAACACCAGUGGCGAAGGCGACUUGCUGGACAUUAACUGACGCUGAGGCUCGAAAGCGUGGGGAGCAAACAGGAUUAGAUACCCGAGUAGUCC
Molecule: ribosomal RNA, 428 nt
Filed under: uncultured bacterium
Lineage: Bacteria
Description: bacterial SSU rRNA
Rfam family: Bacterial small subunit ribosomal RNA
Source: RNAcentral